Molecule: transfer RNA, 77 nt
Filed under: Candidatus Oleimmundimicrobium sp.
Lineage: Bacteria; Bacillati; Actinomycetota; Candidatus Aquicultoria; Candidatus Subteraquimicrobiales; Candidatus Oleimmundimicrobiaceae
Description: tRNA-Glu
Rfam family: tRNA
About the family: Transfer RNA (tRNA) molecules are approximately 80 nucleotides in length. Their secondary structure includes four short double-helical elements and three loops (D, anti-codon, and T loops).
Source: RNAcentral
GGCGCAUUCGUCUAGUGGCCUAGGACACCGCCCUCUCAAGGCGGAGAUCACGGGUUCGAGUCCCGUAUGCGCUACCA